This 460-nucleotide ribosomal RNA is filed under the name uncultured bacterium. Its description in RNAcentral is "partial 16S ribosomal RNA". It matches the Rfam family "Bacterial small subunit ribosomal RNA", at positions 338 to 795 of the family's 1533-position model. The record is from RNAcentral.
CCUACGGGAGACUGCAGUGAGGAAUAUUGGUCAAUGGACGAGAGUCUGAACCAGCCAAGUAGCGUGAAGGAUGACUGCCCUAUGGGUUGUAAACUUCUUUUAUAUGGGAAUAAAAUGUUCCACGUGUGGGAUUUUGUAUGUACCAUAUGAAUAAGGAUCGGCUAACUCCGUGCCAGCAGCCGCGGUACUACGGAGGAUCCGAGCGUUCUCCGGAUGUAUUGGGUUUAAAGGGAGCGUAGGUGGAUUGUUAAGUCAGUUGUGAAAGUUUGCGGCUCAACCGUAAAAUUGCAGUUGAAACUGGCAGUCUUGAGUACAGUAGAGGUGGGCGGAAUUCGUGGUGUAGCGGUGAAAUGCUUAGAUAUCACGAAGAACUCCGAUUGCGAAGGCAGCUCACUGGACUGCAACUGACACUGAGGCUCGAAAGUGUGGGUAUCAAACAGGAUUAGAUACCCCAGUAGUC